AUGAGCCAAGGUUCUCCCGCCGCGAUGGGGUCCGGUUCAGGGACAGCAGAACCGGCCCAUGGGCAGCGCGGGGACUCCUCCAACGCCGCCGCCUCCGCCACCUCCGCCUCCGCCUCCUCGCCGCCACCUCUCCCCCCUGCAGCGCCCCUCCAGCGGCCCCAAGAAGAGCGGGACCGCGAGCAGGCCGGAGGCUCGAGCUCCGCUGCGGCGGGGCUCGACCGGAAGGGCAAGAAUCUCCCAUCCGCACCCGCAGUUCCUUCUUCGGAGUCUUCAUCUUCGAGCUCCGGUGGCAGCAGCCCCGAGGACGCCGACGCCGCGGCCUCCGGAGCCCGGCCGUUCGACAGCACGGCGGUGUUCCAGCAGCUGCUACGGGAGCAGACGGCCAUCAAGGAGGCGGGUGGGUCGUUGGCCGAGGGGACGAGCAAGAAGAAGAAGCCGGAGGCGCAGGUGACAUCGUCGCACGCCAUAGCGGAGCUCUGGCACAAUCUUAUAAAGGCCCAGGCAGAGGCACCCACUGAAGGUUCUGCCCAUCAGGAGCAGAGGGAGAAGAAUACUCAGCAGCAGGCUUCACCUCAACUUCCAGAGGAGCACGCAGGGUGCAAGAAGAGGGAUGAUUGUGACAAGAUCGAAGCAGACCGCAGUGUACCUACAGACCUCAGUGCUGAUUCGAGUAGGUUUUGGCAAUCCGAGUCCGAAAACGCCACUGGUAUCGCCCGGAUUCCUUCUUCAUUGGAUCCUUGUCGGUUCAGACUCUGA
Molecule: ribosomal RNA, 756 nt
Filed under: Triticum aestivum (bread wheat)
Lineage: Eukaryota; Viridiplantae; Streptophyta; Magnoliopsida; Poales; Poaceae
Description: partial small subunit ribosomal RNA
Source: RNAcentral